CACGUGAAGAGGAAGGCCUGAUGCUAGGCUCUCCCUCUUUGUCUCCCUGGCUGGUUCCACCCGCUGUAACGAGCGGCAUUUUGGCAGAGGUGAAAGGUGGUGCUGAGGUGCAUCAGGCACGUCGGGUAGACCUUAGGCAACAUUAUUCAAAGUUCGAGGUGAAUUUAGGUGUUUGUGAUGACGUGCGACAAGUAUAGCAACAUUCCAGGAAAAUCUCUGCCUAAGGCCAAAUAUAGAGUUGUGGUGAACUGGGGCAAUAGGUUGAUUAGAUGGCUCUGCUCAUAUCCUACUGGAGAUAUUUUGAGUCCAUAGUCAUACUAGCGCGACAUGUUUUGGUCUUAUUGACAAUGUAUUGUUUUUUUUUAGACAUUAAUGUUAUGGUUUUGAAGACAUUUUUGUCAUGUGUAUCAUUGAUAAAUAUGAAAUCAUUUUGUAUGAACUGAAUUUGCUACAUAAUGGAAUGUUUGCCUCAUUGUCA
Nymphaea colorata (pocket water lily) is the source of this 478-nucleotide long non-coding RNA. RefSeq lists it as uncharacterized. The transcript is spliced from 3 exons. The record is from RefSeq and is a predicted model, not a curated record. NCBI's taxonomy places the organism in Eukaryota, Viridiplantae, Streptophyta, Magnoliopsida, Nymphaeales, Nymphaeaceae.